Molecule: ribosomal RNA, 494 nt
Filed under: uncultured bacterium
Lineage: Bacteria
Description: partial 16S ribosomal RNA
Rfam family: Bacterial small subunit ribosomal RNA
Source: RNAcentral
GACGAACGCUGGCGGCGUGCUUAACACAUGCGAGUCGAACGGAAAGGCCUGCUUUCCCUUGUGGAUUGCGGGUACUCGAGUGGCGAACGGGUGAGUAACACGUGAGUGAUCUGCCCCCAACUUGGGUAUAAGCCUGGGAAACUGGGUCUAAUUCCCGAUAGGACUGCAGGGUGGUGCCUGUGGUGGAAAACGAUUUUCUAGUGGUUGGGGAUGAGCUCGCGGCCUAUCAGCUUGUUGGUGGGGUAAUGGCCUACCAAGGCGGCGACGGGUAGCCGGCCUGAGAGGGUGGACGGCCACAUUGGGACUGAGAUACGGCCCAGACUCCUACGGGAGGCAGCAGUGGGGAAUAUUGCACAAUGGGCGGAAGCCUGGUGCAGCGACGCCGCGUGGGGGAUGACGGCCUUCGGGUUGUAAACUCCUUUCGACCGCGAGGAAGCCACCUGGUUGGAAGGGUGGUGACGGUAGUGGUAGAAGAAGCACCGGCUAACUACGUG